Molecule: long non-coding RNA, 1848 nt
Filed under: Heterocephalus glaber (naked mole-rat)
Lineage: Eukaryota; Metazoa; Chordata; Mammalia; Rodentia; Bathyergidae
Description: lncRNA (ENSHGLG00100041299.1)
Source: RNAcentral
AAUGGGUAUGCCGAGAAAACAUGCAGUUCCCCUAUAAGCCGGGACCAGAGCGGCGUUUCCUCCUCCGGCCUCAGCCUGCAACAAGGCUGAUCCAUCUCAGAGGUGGAGUCUGGGGAACAGGGGAGUCUGAGGGCUGGAGGUGGAGUUUCAUAACACAGAUGGAUGUUCACCACCAUGGCUUUCUCAGACUUUUAAACCAGAAUGAGGUUCAGAGAGCUGUCAGAGGAUGUUGAAUGAACAGAAAUGGAAAAUUGGAACCAAUAUACAUUGAGCUACUUUGUGAAUCACAGUGGGAAAGCGUUGGAGUCCCAGCCUCACAUCACUUAAGACCCCACUCACUCAUAUCCACUGACAGCAGCACUCUCGCAGCCUGCUCCCCAUACCAGGGGGCACUUUCUCCAGGAUGAGCAAGAAAAACUGUUCUCCACUGUACCAGAUAUGGGUUUGAUGAAUUCAGCCCUGUGCAUAUCCAUGAAGGCCACCCAAGAACUUCCAGAAACUUCUGGUUCACCAUGAUCACCAGAAGAACAUCAAUGGAAUUAUUUCCAGUGCCUCGACACUUUGAAGGGAGGCUCAGUGUCCUGAGGCCAAGAUCAGAGGCCCCUUUAAGGUCCCCAGUGGCCAGGGAGGUAGCCUCAGGCUCAGGGCUGACAUCUUACCUGAACUCGAAUAACUGGGAGAUGAAACAGGAAGCUCUGUGACACACUUGAUCGAAAAUGACACAGAUCGAAAAAUCAGGAUUUGACCCCCACCUCCAGCACCUUUACCUGCUGCCAGCAGAUCACAGCUGGAAAGCAGGCGAAGGGUUUGCCCUGGGACCAAAUUCUAACCACCAUGGAUUCUUGAGGGCCUCUGCACUCACUGGUGAUGUGUCUGCGAUAUUUUGGUCACUGUCAACUCUGGUCAGUUUCCUAUUUAUCUGGUCAGUGUCUUGUGUCUUACUCCUUUCUCCUUCAUUAAAAGCAAAACUAAAGAAAACUGAAUUGUUUGUUUAUUAGCUACAUUUGAACACUAAUUUAAGGGAACAGUGUUUGAGAUGAAUUUCUCCAAGGCCACAAAUAAAAAUCUUAUCAUAACCACACGGAUCAUCAUGACAUCGUUAUAUUGUGUUGAACUUGAAUCUUUUAUUACUCAGCCAUGUUUGUCCUACUUCUUAUAUCUCUUUAGAUCUCCCUUGAGUCAGUAUGAGCAAGUUGACAUUUGAGAAGAGCAUUGGGAUUCGUCUGAAAGUCUCUUUCCACACCCACCCUGAUCGAGGACUGUAGCUGUGAACCCAAGAUUACUCCCAACCUUGAGCUUUACACUGGAGAGACCUCAGAUUUCUUUGCUCCCUCUCGUACUCCACAGAUCCAUCACCUCUUUGCUUAUUCAUUCCAUAUAGAUUUCUCUGGGACCCACUGUGUAGCAGGUUCUGGAGAUAAAGUAGUGGACAGGAUCAGCUCUGUCCACUUUCUGGGCAUUUCUAGCCUCCUUAUGAGCGGGCUUUGUUCAGUAAGUGUCAAGGAUUGCUGUGUGCAGCUUGUCACGGGCAUUGUAUUGAGAUGCACUGAUUCCCUGGAUCCACCCACUCUUCAAACCUGAGACACUGGGUUUGGCACUUGGAUAUUCUUUGAAAUGAUUGAUUUCUUCUGCAGAGUCCCUCUGUUCACCAUAGUCACAAGCAGGACAGUGUGACCUUCCUGGGGACAGGCCAAAGAGGCCAUUGGUAGCCACCUCCCAGUUCUUUUUUUUUUUCCAGUACCUGGGAUCGAACUCAGGACCUUGAGCUUGCGAGGCAGGCAGGAGCAUGACUGAGCUAAAUCCCCAGCCCCUCCCGUGCUUUUUGCCCAUCUUCACUUUUAAAUGUCC